This 497-nucleotide ribosomal RNA is filed under the name uncultured bacterium. RNAcentral describes it as "partial 16S ribosomal RNA". It matches the Rfam family "Bacterial small subunit ribosomal RNA", at positions 28 to 507 of the family's 1533-position model. The record is from RNAcentral.
GAUGAACGCUGGCGGCGUGCCUAAUACAUGCAAGUCGAGCGAACAGACGAGGAGCUUGCUCCUCUGACGUUAGCGGCGGACGGGUGAGUAACACGUGGAUAACCUACCUAUAAGACUGGGAUAACUUCGGGAAACCGGAGCUAAUACCGGAUAAUAUAUUGAACCGCAUGGUUCAAUAGUGAAAGACGGUUUUGCUGUCACUUAUAGAUGGAUCCGCGCCGCAUUAGCUAGUUGGUAAGGUAACGGCUUACCAAGGCGACGAUGCGUAGCCGACCUGAGAGGGUGAUCGGCCACACUGGAACUGAGACACGGUCCAGACUCCUACGGGAGGCAGCAGUAGGGAAUACUCCGCAAUGGGCGAAAGACUGACGGAGCAACGCCGCGUGAGUGAUGAAGGUCUUCGGAUCGUAAAACUCUGUUAUUAGGGAAGAACAAAUGUGUAAGUAACUAUGCACGUAUUGACGGUACCUAAUCAGAAAGCCACGGCUAACUACGUG